AUAAUGCACAUUAAUUAUCCUUGAGGCCAUAAGAUAAACAAAAACCCUUCAAAAACAAGUUAGCACACCCUAGAAUGGUUCUAGCACGAUUACUAACCUAUAACUUUGAUAUCAGUUGAUGGAAAAAACCC
RNAcentral lists this microRNA precursor (131 nucleotides) under Vitis vinifera (wine grape). RNAcentral's name for it is "MIR845_2 microRNA precursor family". It matches the Rfam family "MIR845_2 microRNA precursor family". The record is from Rfam by way of RNAcentral. Lineage: Eukaryota; Viridiplantae; Streptophyta; Magnoliopsida; Vitales; Vitaceae.